ACAUCGACAGUUUCCAGAAUGAUGAAGCAGUUCGUAUACCUAGACAACGGAGGUUUGAUCACGACCUUACUUGAACAGGAUCUGUUCUAUAGGAUCGUACCUCUGUAUCCUUGAUUUCUAAGGAGACAGGAACCUCAACCUGGUGGAUGAAUCAUGACCGUGCGAUCAGAGCGUGAUUAAUAGCUUGUGGUUCCUCGCUUCCAUCAAGCGGCAGAUGAUCGUUCUCAGCCAGUUUCACUGUCUGGGGUGGUCGCACGGUUGUCUGACAGGAGCUGCCAACACCAGAAAGUGUUUUUCUGCAAAACCCCAAUUGGUGAAUCUGUAAGAUUGCUGUUUACUUUGCUCAUUUUCUUGUGGGUUUUCUCCAAGUGCUCAAAUUUUUGCUAUUUCUUGGCUCAAGUUUCAUACUUUGUUGAUGGUUUUUUAAUUUCAUGAAUUUGGUUUUCUUCUGGUUUGCUGUCUCAUAUCAUGUGAUUGCAAUUGGGGAACUUUUUCAUGUGGGUUUGCAUACCAAAUGAUGAAGCUGGUGAGGAAUGUUAAUUGGAAUUGGUUUGUUCAAUUCAGGCCUUUCUACAUAAGGGUUUGAAUUUCGGCAAUGAGAUGACGAAGGGUCAUUGUAAAAUCUUGGUUUUUUAUACUUGCAAUGACGAAGGGUCAUUGCAAUUGGCUCAUUGGUGUUCUUUUUUGUUGGAAUGUCAUGUGCCUUUUUGUAUUUGUUUGAUAGUUACCCGGUUUCGAAUUCCAGUAGUAGUUCCGUUGAUAAAUGUGAUGUUUUCUAAGGAAGUUGGAUUCGAGAUGAAAGUUACCCUUUGUACAAUGCUUCACAAUGUCCAUUUGCAGAAAUUGGAUUUAAUUGCUUUGCAAAUGGGCGUAAAGAUGGGGGUUAUGCAAGUGGAGGUGGAAGCCAAAGAAUUGUGAUAUUCCUAGAUUUGAUGUGCGUACGGUUGUUGAAAAACUUCGUGGAAAGCGAGUUGUUUUUGUUGGAGACUCGUUAAGUAGAACACAGUGGGAGUCUUUGAUAUGUUUACCAUGACUGGGGUGGAGGAUAAGAAUCAUGCUGCUUAUUGUGAAUAAAUGGUUUAAAGGCUUCUGCAUGUUAACACCUCUUCAGAAGGUCUAAUUUCCCAAUAGAGAGAGAAAAUCCCUUAGUACUGAUGUGGCCGAGGUCUUGGUUGAUGUUUGUUGAUGCAAACGCCAUGGCAGCUGUGAUUAUUGUAUUGCGGAGGAAACAUGCUUGUACGGGACUAGUAAAUUUCAACUUCCGAUAUUGUAACGCAUGUAGUUUGGCUAUUUAUGCUUAUGUUUUAGCUUAAAAAACUUUCACCAGUUGGGGAAAGGGGCCUGGAAUUGUAAUCAUACACAUAUCAGAUCAUAAAUAAUGACAGGUAGAAAGUGGAAUUGCCGGUUAUAUUAACAUCUGACUUUAGAUCUUCUUAGUUAAACUACUUACGAGUUGCUACCACCAAAAUAUUAUUGCCUUAGUACACAGUUUAGACCAAAAGAAAAUAUACAAUUCACAAAAGAAUUGUGCAGCCUGCAGUAGUGUUUUGCGGAUGGAUUCUCUUUCUCUCAUUCCACUUCGCCUUCUCACGUUCUUGUGAUUGUUUGUGUGAGUGGAUAUGUACUUGCACCUGCAACUUUUUUUUUCAACAUAUCAUCGACUUCACAAUCAGCUUUCGUGGAGUUUUCAGUGAUUAAACUUGAGAUGAAGUUGAGAAAGUGACUUCCAGAAAAGCAUAUUGAGAUCACUUCUAUAUUUUUGUUUAUUUUUUAUUUUCAACCAGAGACCCAAAAGUAUGCAAGUUUUAACAGUUUUUCAGACGGGGGCUGCAUUUUCAAGUGGGUAAAUCACUGAAGCUCGGAAUGCCAAUUACCGCUGGCUUCAGGACAGCUUUAAACACUUGGGCAUCUUGGGUUGAGACCUUGGUCAACACAAAUAGGACAAGUGUUUUCUUCAGGACUUUUGAGUCAUCGCAUUGGAGGCGUGUUUUAACUUGGGGAAAUUCUACGUGUGCCAGAAGUGUGGAUUUGCGGUUGUAGCAACUCCAAGGAAGAAUGCCUUGCUUAAUCACUUGUUUUGCUUACAUCUUUGAACACAACUUGCACAUGUCAUUUGAUUGUUGUAUACUUUUAUACUUGUGCAGAAGGGCCAAAUAGUACUCCCUAUAAAUAUACGGGAAAUAGUUGACUCAAUUUUAUGGUGUUAUCCAAGCCUCCUAGAUUAUAUGCAUUCAAGAGUGAGCACUGGAAUGAAAAAUUUUUUAUAUGAUGAUAAUACCAUGUGACACAUUGAAGUA
Non-coding RNA from Malus domestica (apple), 2297 nucleotides. The record is from RefSeq and is a predicted model, not a curated record. NCBI's taxonomy places the organism in Eukaryota, Viridiplantae, Streptophyta, Magnoliopsida, Rosales, Rosaceae.